AACGCUGGCGGCGCGUCUUAAGCAUGCAAGUCGAAUGGCAAGAUUGGUGCUUGCACCGAUCCUAGAAUGGCAGACUGGUGAGUAACACGUGGGUGACAUACCCUCUGGAUGGGGACAGCUGUUAGAAAUAGCAGGUAAUACCGAAUAAGCUUGUGCAGGUUAGAGUGGCAUAAGGAAAGGUGCUCCGGCACCACCAGAGGAAUGGCUCGCGGCCCAUUAGCUAGUUGGUGAGGUAACGGCCCACCAAGGCGAUGAUGGGUAUCCGGCCUAAGAGGGUAAACGGACACAUUGGGACUGAGAUACGGCCCAGACUCCUACGGGAGGCAGCAGCUAAGAAUAUUCCGCAAUGGACGAAAGUCUGACGGAGCGACGCCGCGUGGAUGAUGAAGGCCGAAAGGUUGUAAAAUCCUUUUGAACUGGACGAAUAAGUGUGGCAGGGAAUGGUCAUAUGGUGACGGUACAGUUUGAAUAAGAGGCGGCUAAUUACGUGCCAGCCGCUGC
RNAcentral lists this ribosomal RNA (501 nucleotides) under uncultured bacterium. RNAcentral describes it as "bacterial SSU rRNA". It matches the Rfam family "Bacterial small subunit ribosomal RNA", at positions 32 to 518 of the family's 1533-position model. The record is from RNAcentral.